RNAcentral lists this ribosomal RNA (1359 nucleotides) under Triticum aestivum (bread wheat). RNAcentral's name for it is "partial small subunit ribosomal RNA". Lineage: Eukaryota; Viridiplantae; Streptophyta; Magnoliopsida; Poales; Poaceae. The record is from RNAcentral.
AUGGACAGCAAAAAGAAGAGGAACAGGAAGAAGAAGGGAAACCAAGGGAAGAAUACUGGUGAUGCGGUGACCAAUGCCGAUGAAGCUGUUCCUCACAGCCACAAUGAUGAUUUGGCUCCAAAAGAAAAUUAUAGUGGUGCUGAUGCAGAUGAUGCAGUGUCCAGUGUUGGAGAUGCAGUGUCCAGUGUUGGAGAGGGAACACAGUACCAGAAUCACGAGCAGACUCCGCAUGCAAAGCAGAAUGUUGCAAACGCUGAUGAAACCAUAUCGUCGUCUGUUGGUGAGGUGAUUCCAUGCGACGAGAAUCACGAACCUACCAUGACACAGGAGAAUCACAAGGCCAGUAAUACAGUCUAUGCAGAUCAGAUGAGCAUUGGGAUUUCAGAUUCUACCAUGGAACUUGGCAAGGACCGACUUUUUGAAUCAAAGCUUGAUAAAUUACACGAUACAAUAAAGCAAUUGGAAGAUGAGAAAGGUUUAUGGCUUCAAAAAGUGAACGAGAUGGAGAGCGAACUUGAAAAGUUGCAUAACAAAGUGGGUUAUCAUGCACAAAAUGAGGUCAUUUUGGAGGAAAAACUUAAUAAUCUACAGAAUGGGUACGAUAUGCUGGUUAAAAAGGAGGAAGUUUUGGAUAACAAAGUCAAGUGCGUAGAGGAUGUCAAUGGUGUCCUAACUCAUCAGGAGACUUCUCUUAAAGAAAGAUUAAGUUUGCUGGAGGAAACCAACAAAGCAUUACAGGAGCAGGUGAAGGUAUUGGAUGAAACUUCAAAAAGUACUGUUGAGGAAAAUCAGCGGUUGGUGGUAAGUGUGGAUGAAUUGGAGUCAAGAUUACAAACCCUUGAAGCAAAGAUUGCACUUACUGAAGCCUCCAUUACUAAAGAGGUUCCUGAAAAUGAGGUGAUGAAUCAAACAGAUCUGUCCGGUUCAUUUCUCCAUAAGCAGACCACUGAUUUUACGACCGUGAUCAGUAAAGGUAACGAACUUGCUGCUGAUAGAGGUCUGAACAGUUCGCUGGCAGUUACUUCGGACAAUAUCUACAGUCAUGUCAGCAACAUUCCUGUUGGUGCCUAUUCUAGUGAUCAUGCAGAUGAAACUUCGGUGUACGUUGCAGAAGCAACGAGCAGCAAUGGUGCUGGCCAGAGCCUCAUGAACGCAAAUGCAUGCCAAGGAUUUGAUGAACCAAGAACAAGUGGUGAAAUCGUGCCGGUUCCGUUGGAUGAUAUACUGAUUCAUGAAGAUGAUCCACAGACAGCUGAGGAGGUUCCAUUUACUGAUGCCCCCAUUGUUGGCGCACCCUUCCGGUUGAUCUCGUUUGUUGCUAGGUAUGUCAGUGGUGCAGACUUGGUGAACCAAAAGUAA